CGAAACGCAAUGACCAAAAUAAAUUGCCCAAAACUGAAAAAGAAAUUACACAGAUUCAAUUAACAAAAUGAUGGUUAAUAUAAAGAAAUAAAAAUUAGAACUUUGAAGAUUCACAACUCAGAUUCAACACAAUACAGAAAUUCAAUGUAUAACACAAGAAUGAAUAAGAAAAAAGGACAACAGAAUCACACGAGCUUGAAGAAGAAUUGAGAAGACUCUAAGGAACCACAUGCAGAAGCAGGUUGGGUCGUUUCUUCCAAAAACACCCUCACGAAGUAAUGGCGUUGUGGCUGACAAAGAAGAAAGUUUCGUGAGAGUAGAACAAACCAAAGUUGUCUCAGAUUAACCAAACAGAGUCGAAGAACGAAGCAAGCUGUCUUAGGUUCAUGUUGAGGGUGACAUUGAAAUUGGGGAUUUUAGGGUGAGAUUCAUGUUGACGGUUGAAAUUGAGGGUGAGAUUGAAAUUGGGGGUGAGAUUGGGAGGGUUAGGUUUCAGAUAGAGAGUGAGAUUGAAAUGGAGGUUUUAGGGUUUUGAAAAGUGGGAACCGUGGGAAUGAAAUUGAGAAAGCGGGAGAGAUGAAAAUAUUUUGGGUGAAAAGCGCAAUUGAC
This 609-nucleotide long non-coding RNA is filed under the name Medicago truncatula (barrel medic). Its description in RNAcentral is "long non-coding RNA (MTRU_LNC003788)". Lineage: Eukaryota; Viridiplantae; Streptophyta; Magnoliopsida; Fabales; Fabaceae. The record is from RNAcentral.